CCUACGGGGGGCUGCAGUGAGGAAUAUUGGUCAAUGGGCGCAAGCCUGAACCAGCCAUCCCGCGUGCAGGAAGAAGGCGCUAUGCGUUGUAAACUGCUUUUCCAGGGGGCGAACCUCCCGCACGAGUGCGGGACUGACGGUACCUUGGGAAUAAGCAUCGGCUAACUCCGUGCCAGCAGCCGCGGUAAUACGGAGGAUGCGAGCGUUAUCCGGAUUUAUUGGGUUUAAAGGGUGCGUAGGCGGAUUAAUAAGUCAGUGGUGAAAACCUGCAGCUUAACUGUGGAACUGCCGUUGAUACUGUUAGUCUUGAGUAUGGUCAAGGUAGGCGGAAUGUGUAAUGUAGCGGUGAAAUGCUUAGAUAUUACACAGAACACCGAUUGCGAAGGCAGCUUACUGGGCCGUUACUGACGCUGAUGCACGAAAGCGUGGGGAUCGAACAGGAUUAGAUACCCCAGUAGUC
RNAcentral lists this ribosomal RNA (460 nucleotides) under uncultured Bacteroidota bacterium. RNAcentral describes it as "bacterial SSU rRNA". It matches the Rfam family "Bacterial small subunit ribosomal RNA", at positions 338 to 795 of the family's 1533-position model. Lineage: Bacteria; Pseudomonadati; Bacteroidota. The record is from RNAcentral.